UGUUUGUCAUCAGUAUAAACUCUUGUGGUAUUUUACCUGCUUGGAGAUUGGAGGGGACUAACAUCUUAAUUUGCUGUAGCUGUCUCCAAAAAAACUGCUCAGCUGUUCUGUGAUGGGAGGGCUGAGAUUCAGACUGCCGCUGCAGAGGCUAAACACUGAUGGUACUGCAACCCUCAUGGCUGUCAUGGCAAAGUACCUUUUGCCUUUAUUUUUCUUCUGUUCUUCUGCUAAAAGAUUAAUUCUUUUCUCUCGGUUCAUUACCAAGUAUUUGUAGAGGAGUUGGUGGCCCAGCGUGUGGCACGGGGGUUGGAGAUUCAUGAUCCUAGAGGUCCCUUCCAACCCUGGCCAUUCUGUGAUUCUGAGCUCGUAGCCAGGACUGCUCCAGCUAUCACUGUUAUUUGUUUUCUCUCUUCAUUUCUCUACUGGCAUUAAGACAGAGUUGGCACUGAAGCUAUGAGAAAUAUUGACAGUAAAAUGAGGUUUAAUUUAACAGAUCCAUAUAUUUGUAGAAACUUCCAUGAGGAUUUGGAAACAAUAACUGAGCAUAUCUGCAUGGAUGAAAAAGAGCCAGUUUACACACCUGCAGCUACUUGCUUUAUUGCCUGCUUUCCAUGGUUGUGGAUUGAAGCCCUUUUCUGAGCAGCAUCCUGCCAGGAAGGCCAUACCAACUUCCAUUUCUGUGUCCAGUGGUGCCCCAAGAUGGUCCUCCUUCCAGACCGGAUACAGCCCCGUGCAAGCAGCUUCCUUCUGUGUGAAGGAGGUAGGAUUAGGUAAAGACAUAAAUUAGGCUAUGAUUUAAUGUUUUCUUAAAUCUGAAGAAUAUCUGUGAGCUUUCUGUUUGCUACUUCUUGAGAAUCCCUUUCACGGGAACUGAAUCCUCCCAGAUGUUGCUUGCAGCCUACAGACCUAGUCCUGCUGCUGCAACCAAGCAGGAACCAACCAUGGUUCUUCCGUGUGCUUGAGCAGGUGAUACUUAAACAAGAAAAGAGUACCUGUUUGCCCUCACGCUGUUUCAGGGGACACACUCAUAUGAAUAAAAGGAUAUUCUGUGGCA
This 1054-nucleotide long non-coding RNA is filed under the name Phasianus colchicus (ring-necked pheasant). Its description in RNAcentral is "lncRNA (ENSPCLG00000017756.1)". Lineage: Eukaryota; Metazoa; Chordata; Aves; Galliformes; Phasianidae. The record is from RNAcentral.